GGAGUUGAUUGAGCAAGACUGAGACCUUUUUCAGUCAAGCAGUUCUUUUAGAGGGGCGGGAAGAAGGCUUGCCCAAGGACACUAAUGUACUACUUUCUUGUGUUAAACAGCAACAAACAGGAGUGGUACUUGGCAAAAGGAGAAAGGAUGCAAUGAAUGGUAUGGCCUGUUGAGGGGGAGAACAAAGGGAACAUAGUUAUAAACCAAUGACAAGCAAUUUUAUUGAGGCAUUCUGAACUCUUUCACUUCAGCCCAUGACAUCUUAACCACUAAGAUUCAUGAGAAGAAAAACUACCCAGAUGUGAUUUGAUUUACUCCAUGUAUUUUAAUAUUCAAGGAACCCAGGAGAGCAAAAUGGAAAGUUUUAAACGGAAAACUUACCUCUUUUGGUUGGCUGAGGUUCAAGCUUACAAUGUCACCACAGAGAGCUGAAGAAAGUCUUAGACCCUGUCAUUUCAUUACCAGAGAAAGCUCGGUAUCUCCUUCUUCUUUUUAUUUCUCGGGUGACCGAAGCAUUAGGCAGUAAUAUCACUUGCCCAGCACUGUGUCCUUUGUGAGCCAAACCCUCAAGUGUCAGAGCAGCGGUGCUUCCUGAGGUGGUUUGCAAGCACUGACAACGCAUGCAAGGAGGAGAAGCAGCGUAAAGUCAGUGGUUAGAAAGGCAAAUGAGACUGAAUACAGGGGGGAGUAAAUGUGAUUAAUACCUCUUACUGACUUAACUUUUGUCUCCUUGCUGAAAUUCCCUCUCCUUUUGGUGGAAACAAAAUCCCACCAUAAGAAAACAUGGAGAUUAUAUAUGUAUUUAACAUUUCAUUCUUUCUUUACGCUGAAGGGUUUUCCUCACAUGCACUGAAAUAAGGAUGUCUCCACUCCCUUUCUACACGUUUGCCAAGUCCAAUAUUUCGUGGAGCUUUAAGGUGAUAAGUAUAUUUUCUGAAUAAAAAGUGAUCCCCUACAUAAUACUCCCCCUCAAAGAGAGUGGGACCACAAACACACAAAAUUAAGAACAAUUAAAUGGUAACCAGUUGCACUAACU
Aquila chrysaetos chrysaetos is the source of this 1036-nucleotide long non-coding RNA. RefSeq lists it as uncharacterized. The record is from RefSeq and is a predicted model, not a curated record. The transcript has 4 exons. NCBI's taxonomy places the organism in Eukaryota, Metazoa, Chordata, Aves, Accipitriformes, Accipitridae.